GUCGAGAAUUUUUCUCAAUGGGGGAAACCCUGACGCAGCGACGCCGCGUGAGGGAUGAAGGGCUUCGGGUUGUAAACCCCUGUCAUUUGGGAACAUGGUUACUGGUGGCCCCCCGUGACUUGAUCGUACCGACUGAGGAACGGCCGGCUAACUCUUUGCCAGCAGCCGCGGUAAUACAGAGGUCCCAAGCGUUGUUCGGAUUCACUGG
RNAcentral lists this ribosomal RNA (208 nucleotides) under uncultured actinomycete. Its description in RNAcentral is "partial 16S ribosomal RNA". It matches the Rfam family "Bacterial small subunit ribosomal RNA", at positions 354 to 557 of the family's 1533-position model. Lineage: Bacteria; Bacillati; Actinomycetota; Actinomycetes; Actinomycetales. The record is from RNAcentral.